GAUUCAUAAUAACUUAACGAAUCGCAUGGCCUUGCGCCGGCGAUGGUUCAUUCAAAUUUCUGCCCUAUCAACUUUCGAUGGUAAGAUAGUGGCUUACCAUGGUCUCAACGGGUAACGGGGAAUUAGGGUUCUAUUCCGGAGAGGGAGCCUGAGAAACGGCUACCACAUCCAAGGAAGGCAGCAGGCGCGCAAAUUACCCAAUCCCAAUUCGGGGAGGUAGUGACAAUAAAUACUGAUACGGGGCUCUUUCGGGUCUCGUAAUUGGAAUGAGUACAAUCUAAAUCCCUUAACGAGGAACAAUUGGAGGGCAAGUCUGGUGCCAGCAGCCGCGGUAAUUCCAGCUCCAAUAGCGUAUAUUAAAGUUGUUGCCGUUAAAAAGCUCGUAGUUGAACCUUGGACCUGGCUGAUCUGUCCUCCUAAUCGAGCGCACGGAUUCGGUCGGGUCUUUCCUUCUGGGGAGCCCUAUGCCCUUCACUGGGUGUAGUGGGGAACCAGGACUUUUAC
RNAcentral lists this ribosomal RNA (504 nucleotides) under uncultured fungus. Its description in RNAcentral is "SSU rRNA". It matches the Rfam family "Eukaryotic small subunit ribosomal RNA", at positions 248 to 755 of the family's 1831-position model. The record is from RNAcentral. Lineage: Eukaryota; Fungi.